RNAcentral lists this ribosomal RNA (426 nucleotides) under uncultured bacterium. RNAcentral's name for it is "bacterial SSU rRNA". It matches the Rfam family "Bacterial small subunit ribosomal RNA", at positions 28 to 438 of the family's 1533-position model. The record is from RNAcentral.
GACGAACGCUGGCGGCGUGCUUAACACAUGCAAGUCGAACGGGCGGAUUUGGUAGCUUGCUAUCAUUGAAGCUAGUGGCAAACGGGUGAGUAACGCGUAGGCAACCUGCCUCCUGGAUGGGGACAACAUUCCGAAAGGGAUGCUAAUACCGAAUGAUGUAUGAUUUCCGCAUGGGAGUCAUACCAAAGGCCGAGCAAUCGGUCACCAGGAGAUGGGCCUGCGUCUGAUUAGCUAGUUGGUGGGGUAACGGCCCACCAAGGCGACGAUCAGUAGCCGGUCUGAGAGGAUGAACGGCCACAUUGGGACUGAGACACGGCCCAGACUCCUACGGGAGGCAGCAGUGGGGAAUCGUUCCACAAUGGACGGAAGUCUGAUGGAGCGACGCCGCGUGGACGAUGAAGGCCGUGAGGUUGUAAAGUCCUUUUC